CUGACUAAUUUCAGACUGGCUUAAGCUAGAAAAAAAAUACAAAAUAGAAAGAAAACCUCUCAGUUUCAAUACUGGACAUGCCAGAUGGUACUAAUUUGAACACAUCAUUCCAUGCUUCCUGGAGUAAUCACACAGCUUGCUUAGAUUUUCUAAACAUGACUGAACUGUGAUGAAGCGAUCAACAUUAACUGCCAAGACUCCACAUAGCAAUGAUGUGCUGGCCACCCACUGGGAAAACACCUGUCACCCCUUGAUGGACCUUUCUGACACUGUUUGCCUGUCCUCAAAAGUUCCUGAAAUAUUUACCAGUCAGCAUCUUGGAAAAAACAAAUAAUGGGGCCUUCUCAGAGUGAGGAAGCUUCCUGGAGGGUCAUCAGGACACUACAGAAGAGCUAAUCCAACAUGGAUCUCUAAAACUAUGCAAUUAAGACGAGUGUGGUGGCUCACACCUGUAAUGCCGGCACUUCGGGAGACCAAGGCGGUUGGAUCACUUGAGACCAGGAGUUUAAGAUGGGAUAUCCUCUCCCAACCCAUCCAGCAACCUCUAUAACAGGGGUCCCCAAUCCCAGCGCCACGGACUAGUACCAGCUGGUGGCCUGUUAGGAACUGGGCCACACAGC
This 620-nucleotide long non-coding RNA is filed under the name Homo sapiens (human). RNAcentral describes it as "HSALNT0369397". Lineage: Eukaryota; Metazoa; Chordata; Mammalia; Primates; Hominidae. The record is from RNAcentral.